Molecule: ribosomal RNA, 468 nt
Filed under: uncultured bacterium
Lineage: Bacteria
Description: partial 16S ribosomal RNA
Rfam family: Bacterial small subunit ribosomal RNA
Source: RNAcentral
GACGAACGCUGGCGGCGUGCUUAACACAUGCAAGUCGAACGGAAAGGCUCUGCUUUUGUGGGGUGCUCGAGUGGCGAACGGGUGAGUAACACGUGAGUAACCUGCCCUUGACUUUGGGAUAACUUCAGGAAACUGGGGCUAAAACCGGAUAGGAGCUCCUGCUGCAUGGUGGGGGUUGGAAAGUUUCGGCGGUUGGGGAUGGACUCGCGGCUUAUCAGCUUGUUGGUGGGGUAGUGGCUUACCAAGGCUUUGACGGGUAGCCGGCCUGAGAGGGUGACCGGCCACAUUGGGACUGAGAUACGGCCCAGACUCCUACGGGAGGCAGCAGUGGGGAAUAUUGCACAAUGGGCGGAAGCCUGAUGCAGCAACGCCGCGUGCGGGAUGACGGCCUUCGGGUUGUAAACCGCUUUCGCCUGUGACGAAGCGUGAGUGACGGUAAUGGGUAAAGAAGCACCGGCUAACUACGUG